RNAcentral lists this ribosomal RNA (568 nucleotides) under uncultured bacterium. RNAcentral describes it as "partial 16S ribosomal RNA". It matches the Rfam family "Bacterial small subunit ribosomal RNA", at positions 355 to 914 of the family's 1533-position model. The record is from RNAcentral.
UGGGGAAUAUUGCACAAUGGGCGCAAGCCUGAUGCAGCCAUGCCGCGUGUGUGAAGAAGGCCUUCGGGUUGUAAAGCACUUUCAGCGAGGAGGAAGGUGGUGAACUUAAUACGUUCAUCAAUUGACGUUACUCGCAGAAGAAGCACCGGCUAACUCCGUGCCAGCAGCCGCGGUAAUACGGAGGGUGCAAGCGUUAAUCGGAAUUACUGGGCGUAAAGCGCACGCAGGCGGUUUGUUAAGUCAGAUGUGAAAUCCCCGGGCUCAACCUGGGAACUGCAUUUGAAACUGGCAAGCUAGAGUCUCGUAGAGGGGGGUAGAAUUCCAGGUGUAGCGGUGAAAUGCGUAGAGAUCUGGAGGAAUACCGGUGGCGAAGGCGGCCCCCUGGACGAAGACUGACGCUCAGGUGCGAAAGCGUGGGGCAGCAAACAGGAUUAGAUACCCUGGUGUCCACGCUGUAAACGAUGUCGAUUUGGAGGUUGUGCCCCUUGAGGCGUGGCUUCCGGAGCUAACGCGUUAAAUCGACCGCCUGGGGAGUACGGCCGCAAGGUUAAAACUCAAAGGAAUUGAC